RNAcentral lists this ribosomal RNA (497 nucleotides) under uncultured bacterium. RNAcentral's name for it is "partial 16S ribosomal RNA". It matches the Rfam family "Bacterial small subunit ribosomal RNA", at positions 28 to 507 of the family's 1533-position model. The record is from RNAcentral.
GAUGAACGCUGGCGGCGUGCCUAAUACAUGCAAGUCGAGCGAACGGACGAGAAGCUUGCUUUUCUGAUGUUAGCGGCGGACGGGUGAGUAACACGUGGAUAACCUACCUAUAAGACUGGGAUAACUUCGGGAAACCGGAGCUAAUACCGGAUAAUAUUUUGAACCGCAUGGUUCAUAAGUGAAAGACGGUCUUGCUGUCACUUAUAGAUGUAUCCGCGCUGCAUUAGCUAGUUGGUAAGGUAACGGCUUACCAAGGCAACGAUGCAUAGCCGACCUGAGAGGGUGAUCGGCCACACUGGAACUGAGACACGGUCCAGACUCCUACGGGAGGCAGCAGUAGGGAAUAUUCCGCAAUGGGCGAAAGCCUGACGGAGCAACGCCGCGUGAGUGAUGAAGGUCUUCGGAUCGUAAAACUCUGUUAUUAGGGAAGAACAUAUGUGUAAGUAACUGUGCACAUCUUGACGGUACCUAAUCAGAAAGCCACGGCUAACUACGUG